Molecule: ribosomal RNA, 492 nt
Filed under: uncultured bacterium
Lineage: Bacteria
Description: partial 16S ribosomal RNA
Rfam family: Bacterial small subunit ribosomal RNA
Source: RNAcentral
AGUGAACGCUGGCGGUAGGCCUAACACAUGCAAGUCGAACGGCAGCACAGUAAGAGCUUGCUCUUACGGGUGGCGAGUGGCGGACGGGUGAGGAAUACAUCUGAAUCUACUUUUUCGUGGGGGAUAACGUAGGGAAACUUACGCUAAUACCGCAUACGACCUACGGGUGAAAGCAGGGGAUCUUCGGACCUUGCGCGAUUGAAUGAGCCGGUGUCGGAUUAGCUAGGUGGCGGGGUAAAGGCCCACCAAGGCGACGAUCCGUAGCUGGUCUGAGAGGAUGGUCCGCCACACUGGAACUGAGACACGGUCCAGACUCCUACGGGAGGCAGCAGUGGGGAAUAUUGGACAAUGGGCGCAAGCCUGAUCCAGCCAUACCGCGUGGGUGAAGAAGGCCUUCGGGUUGUAAAGCCCUUUUGUUGGGAAAGAAAAGCAGCAGGUUAAUACCCCGCUGUUCUGACGGUACCCAAAGAAUAAGCACCGGCUAACUUCGUG